UGCAGAUGAUGUGAAGAAUAUUUGCUAUCUUAAAGCAAUGAUGACAUUUCCACCAAGAUCACUGAUGCA
This is a small nucleolar RNA of Osmerus eperlanus (European smelt), 69 nucleotides long. RefSeq annotates it as small nucleolar RNA SNORD24. The transcript has a single exon. NCBI's taxonomy places the organism in Eukaryota, Metazoa, Chordata, Actinopteri, Osmeriformes, Osmeridae. The record is from RefSeq and is a predicted model, not a curated record.